CCUACGGGCGGCAGCAGUGGGGAAUAUUGCACAAUGGGGGAAACCCUGAUGCAGCGACGCCGCGUGAGUGAAGAAGUAUUUCGGUAUGUAAAGCUCUAUCAGCAGGGAAGAAAAACGACGGUACCUGACUAAGAAGCCCCGGCUAACUACGUGCCAGCAGCCGCGGUAAUACGUAGGGGGCAAGCGUUAUACGGAUUUACUGGGUGGAAAGGGAGCGUAGACGGAGAAGCAAGUCUGAAGUGAAAGCCCGUGGCUUAACCACGGGACUGCUUUGGAAACUGUUUGACUAGAUUGCUGGAGAGGUAAGUGGAAUUCCUAGUGUAGCGGUGAAAUGCGUAGAUAUUAGGAGGAACACCAGUGGCGAAGGCGGCUUACUGGACAGUAACUGACGUUGAGGCUCGAAAGCGUGGGGAGCAAACAGGAUUAGAUACCCCAGUAGUC
RNAcentral lists this ribosomal RNA (441 nucleotides) under uncultured bacterium. Its description in RNAcentral is "partial 16S ribosomal RNA". It matches the Rfam family "Bacterial small subunit ribosomal RNA", at positions 338 to 795 of the family's 1533-position model. The record is from RNAcentral.